AACGCUGGCGGCGCGCCUAACACAUGCAAGUCGAGCGAGAACCGGAGCUUCGGCUCCGGGGACAGCGGCGAACGGGUGAGUAACACGUGGAUAACCUGCCCUCGGCACCGGAAUAGCCCGGGGAAACUCGGAUUAAUGCCGGAUAGCCCCACAUCCUCUCGGGGAACGUGGGAAAAGGUAGCUUCGGCCUCUGGCCGAGGAUGGGUCCGCGGUGGAUUAGCUUGUUGGCGGGGUAAUGGCCCACCAAGGCGA
RNAcentral lists this ribosomal RNA (252 nucleotides) under uncultured Actinomycetes bacterium. Its description in RNAcentral is "uncultured actinobacterium partial 16S ribosomal RNA". It matches the Rfam family "Bacterial small subunit ribosomal RNA", at positions 32 to 276 of the family's 1533-position model. The record is from RNAcentral. Lineage: Bacteria; Bacillati; Actinomycetota; Actinomycetes.